UACGUAGGGUGCAAGCGUUAAUCGGAAUUACUGGGCGUAAAGCGUGCGCAGGCGGUUAUUUAAGUCAGGUGUGAAAGCCCUGGGCUUAACCUAGGAAUUGCGCUUGAGACUGGAUAGCUUGGAGUGCGGCAGAGGGAGGUGGAAUUCCACGUGUAGCAGUGAAAUGCGUAGAGAUGUGGAGGAACACCGAUGGCGAAGGCAGCCCCCUGGGCUGAGAUUGACGCUCAGGCACGAAAGCGUGGGGAGCAAACAGG
Molecule: ribosomal RNA, 254 nt
Filed under: uncultured bacterium
Lineage: Bacteria
Description: partial 16S ribosomal RNA
Rfam family: Bacterial small subunit ribosomal RNA
Source: RNAcentral